GUGAAGGGGGUUGAGCUCUGAGGCUGGCCAGGUGGAAGGAGGUGAGGUUCCGAAACGGUGAAGGCCCCUCCCAGCCUGCAGGCACUACCUCGUGAAACAUGACACCUUGGACAAGGACUGGUUACCCGGAGACAGUGAGCAAUCCGGUACUGACUUGGCGCGGCUCUAACCGCCAAGGCAAGUGAUCCCUGGUACUGAGCCUGACUUACAAGGAGUGAUGCACUCAACACUGACGCCCGUCAGCACCCGGAAUACCUGGCCUGGGAUCAUGGAGCAAGCAAGGCUCACCCCAGACAGAACUGCAGCAUGGAUAGGUGGCUGUGCAAUGCACCCACAAUACAGUCUUCUCACCAAGGCCGGUGACCUGUCGGUCUGUCUGUCCCUGCUGUCUCCGGCCGGUGCAUAAACUCCUGGGGCUCUGUUCCAUGCCUGCUUGCCCUGAGGUGCAACGUCUAGCUCUCUACACCAUGCAUACACAACGCCAGUGGAAGGAAUCAACUUUGCAGCAUUUGGUGGGGGAAAUAAAUCCCUAAUUGGAAUCUGA
Herpailurus yagouaroundi (jaguarundi) is the source of this 544-nucleotide long non-coding RNA. RefSeq lists it as uncharacterized. The record is from RefSeq and is a predicted model, not a curated record. NCBI's taxonomy places the organism in Eukaryota, Metazoa, Chordata, Mammalia, Carnivora, Felidae. The transcript has 2 exons.